UGGGGAAUAUUGCACAAUGGGCGCAAGCCUGAUGCAGCCAUGCCGCGUGUAUGAAGAAGGCCUUCGGGUUGUAAAGUACUUUCAGCGAGGAGGAAGGCGUUGUGGUUAAUAACCGCAACGAUUGACGUUACUCGCAGAAGAAGCACCGGCUAACUCCGUGCCAGCAGCCGCGGUAAUACGGAGGGUGCAAGCGUUAAUCGGAAUUACUGGGCGUAAAGCGCACGCAGGCGGUCUGUCAAGUCGGAUGUGAAAUCCCCGGGCUCAACCUGGGAACUGCAUCCGAGACUGGCAGGCUAGAGUCUUGUAGAGGGGGGUAGAAUUCCAGGUGUAGCGGUGAAAUGCGUAGAGAUCUGGAGGAAUACCGGUGGCGAAGGCGGCCCCCUGGACAAAGACUGACGCUCAGGUGCGAAAGCGUGGGGAGCAAACA
This 427-nucleotide ribosomal RNA is filed under the name uncultured bacterium. Its description in RNAcentral is "partial 16S ribosomal RNA". It matches the Rfam family "Bacterial small subunit ribosomal RNA", at positions 355 to 774 of the family's 1533-position model. The record is from RNAcentral.